RNAcentral lists this ribosomal RNA (326 nucleotides) under uncultured bacterium. Its description in RNAcentral is "partial 16S ribosomal RNA". It matches the Rfam family "Bacterial small subunit ribosomal RNA", at positions 355 to 697 of the family's 1533-position model. The record is from RNAcentral.
UGGGGAAUAUUGGACAAUGGGGGCAACCCUGAUCCAGCAAUGCCGCGUGUGUGAAGAAGGUCUUCGGAUUGUAAAGCACUUUCGACGGGGACGAUGAUGACGGUACCCGUAGAAGAAGCCCCGGCUAACUUCGUGCCAGCAGCCGCGGUAAUACGAAGGGGGCUAGCGUUGCUCGGAAUGACUGGGCGUAAAGGGCGUGUAGGCGGUUUACACAGUCAGAUGUGAAAUCCCCGGGCUUAACCUGGGAGCUGCAUUUGAUACGUGUAGACUAGAGUGUGAGAGAGGGUUUGUGGAAUUCCCAGUGUAGAGGUGAAAUUCGUAGAUAU